This is a long non-coding RNA of Branchiostoma floridae (Florida lancelet), 594 nucleotides long. RefSeq lists it as uncharacterized. The record is from RefSeq and is a predicted model, not a curated record. The transcript has 3 exons. Lineage: Eukaryota; Metazoa; Chordata; Leptocardii; Amphioxiformes; Branchiostomatidae.
GCGGAGUGUGUGUUGAGGCGUCUGACGGACGUUAUUGUGUCUGCAAAGGCGGGUGGGAGGGAGACAGUUGUGAGACAGAUGUAAACGAAUGCAAGACCGCCGAAUGCCACCCUCUAGCGACCUGUGAAAAUACUGCAGGGAGCUACAUCUGCCAGUGUGACGAAGGUUACGAAGGCGAUGGGCUUGAGUCAUGUACAGACAAAGAUGAAUGUGAACAAGAGGACAUCUGCGGACAAUACUCCCUGGGCUGCGUUAACACCAUAGGCAGCUACAACUGUAGCUGUCAGCAAGGGUUCGUCUCAAAUGGAACAGGUUGUGUAGGUAAGUACUGACGUGCUACAUGUGUCACCGUAUGUGUCAACGGGUUUGUUCAAUGCAGGGCCAUUUGACCAGUUUAGGCAAUGGACUAAGUUGGUAACGUCGGAAACUAUCAUGCCUGGAGAUAGCGGUCAGGUUUUGAAGAUUUUCCUUGUUAUCUAUAACAGACCUAGACGAGUGCCUGUCUUCACCCUGUCAUCAGUUUGCUGACUGUACCAACUUGCCAGGAAACUACACCUGUACCUGCCUGCCGGGGUACACUGGAGAUGGCCUGGA